GAUGAAGAACGCAGCGAAAUGCGAUAAGUAAUGUGAAUUGCAGAAUUCAGUGAAUCAUCGAGUCUUUGAACGCACAUUGCGCCCCCUGGUAUUCCGGGGGGCAUGCCUGUCCGAGCGUCAUUGCCGCCCUCAAGCACGGCUUGUGUGUUGGGCCCCCGCCCCCCGGCUUCGGGGGGCGGGCCCGAAAGGCAGCGGCGGCACCGCGUCCGGUCCUCGAGCGUAUGGGGCUUCGUCACCCGCUCUGUAGGCCCGGCCGGCGCCCGCCGGCGACCCCAAUCAAUCUUUCCAGGUUGACCUCGGAUCAGGUAGGGAUACCCGCUGAACUUAAGCAUAUCAAAAGCGAGGA
RNAcentral lists this unclassified non-coding RNA (346 nucleotides) under soil metagenome. RNAcentral's name for it is "partial contains 5.8S ribosomal RNA, internal transcribed spacer 2, and large subunit ribosomal RNA". The stretch from base 1 to 120 matches the Rfam family "5.8S ribosomal RNA", at positions 35 to 154 of the family's 154-position model. The record is from RNAcentral.